RNAcentral lists this ribosomal RNA (468 nucleotides) under uncultured bacterium. Its description in RNAcentral is "partial 16S ribosomal RNA". It matches the Rfam family "Bacterial small subunit ribosomal RNA", at positions 28 to 507 of the family's 1533-position model. The record is from RNAcentral.
GACGAACGCUGGCGGCGUGCUUAACACAUGCAAGUCGAACGGAAAGGCCCUGCUUUUGUGGGGUGCUCGAGUGGCGAACGGGUGAGUAACACGUGAGUAACCUGCCCUUGACUUUGGGAUAACUUCAGGAAACUGGGGCUAAUACCGGAUAGGAGCUCCUGCUGCAGGGUGGGGGUUGGAAAGUUUCGGCGGUUGGGGAUGGACUCGCGGCUUACCAGCUUGUUGGUGGGGUAGUGGCUUACCAAGGCUUUGACGGGUAGCCCGCCUGAGAGGGUGACCGGCCACAUUGGGACUGAGAUACGGCCCAGACUCCUACGGGAGGCAGCAGUGGGGAAUAUUGCACAAUGGGCGGAAGCCUGAUGCAGCAACGCCGCGUGCGGGAUGACGGCCUUCGGGUUGUAAACCGCUUUCGCCUGUGACGAAGCGUGAGUGACGGUAAUGGGUAAAGAAGCACCGGCUAACUACGUG